RNAcentral lists this ribosomal RNA (120 nucleotides) under Exserohilum turcica Et28A. Lineage: Eukaryota; Fungi; Ascomycota; Dothideomycetes; Pleosporales; Pleosporaceae. The record is from RNAcentral.
ACAUACGACCAUAGGCAAAGGAAUUUACCGGGUCCCGUUAGCUCCCCGCAUGUCAACUCUUUGACCGGCGAUGUAGUAGUCAGGUGGGUGACCACUGGCGAAUGCCCGCUGUUGUAUGUU